GACGAACGCUGGCGGCGUGCUUAACACAUGCAAGUCGAACGGAAAGGCCCUGCUUUUGUGGGGUGCUCGAGUGGCGAACGGGUGAGUAACACGUGAGUAACCUGCCCUUGACUUUGGGAUAACUUCAGGAAACUGGGGCUAAUACCGGAUAGGAGCUCCUGCUGCAUGGUGGGGGUUGGAAAGUUUCGGCGGUUGGGGAUGGACUCGCGGCUUAUCAGCUUGUUGGUGGGGUAGUGGCUUACCAAGGCUUUGACAGGUAGCCGGCCUGAGAGGGUGACCGGCCACAUUACGCCUGAGAUACGGCCCAGACUCCAAUGGGAGGCAAAGGUGGGGAGUAUUAUCCAGUGGGAGGGAGCCUGGUGCAGCGCCGCCGCGUGCGGGAUGACAGCCUUCGGGUAGUAAACCGCAUUCGCUUGUGACGAAGCGUGAGUGACGGUAAUCGGUGAAGAAGCACCGGCUAACUACGUG
RNAcentral lists this ribosomal RNA (468 nucleotides) under uncultured bacterium. Its description in RNAcentral is "partial 16S ribosomal RNA". It matches the Rfam family "Bacterial small subunit ribosomal RNA", at positions 28 to 507 of the family's 1533-position model. The record is from RNAcentral.